Molecule: ribosomal RNA, 253 nt
Filed under: uncultured bacterium
Lineage: Bacteria
Description: partial 16S ribosomal RNA
Rfam family: Bacterial small subunit ribosomal RNA
Source: RNAcentral
UACGAAGGGGGCUAGCGUUGCUCGGAAUGACUGGGCGUAAAGGGCGCGUAGGCGGCUUGGACAGUCAGAUGUGAAAUUCCUGGGCUCAACCUGGGGGCUGCAUUUGAUACGUUCGGACUAGAGUGGGGAAGAGGGUCGUGGAAUUCCCAGUGUAGAGGUGAAAUUCGUAGAUAUUGGGAAGAACACCGGUGGCGAAGGCGGCGACCUGGUCCUUGACUGACGCUGAGGCGCGAAAGCGUGGGGAGCAAACAGG